UGGAUUGCAGAUAAACAAGAGGUUUUAGAAUC
Molecule: non-coding RNA, 32 nt
Filed under: Mus musculus (house mouse)
Lineage: Eukaryota; Metazoa; Chordata; Mammalia; Rodentia; Muridae
Source: RNAcentral